This is a long non-coding RNA of Trematomus bernacchii (emerald rockcod), 850 nucleotides long. RefSeq lists it as uncharacterized. Lineage: Eukaryota; Metazoa; Chordata; Actinopteri; Perciformes; Nototheniidae. The transcript has 2 exons. The record is from RefSeq and is a predicted model, not a curated record.
UCUUCCUUUCCCCCACGCUACACCCUUCUGCCAAGUUUCAUGCAAAUCAGGUGUUCCAUAAUUCCCAGACAGUCGGACAAACAGUAGAAAAAACCGUAGCUCCUUGGAAGAGACCCAGAGUCAGACACUCCCAUUCUCCUGCUCUCCCAUCAGUAGAUUAUCUCUGAUUGUUGAUGAUCUCCACUCACCUGCUGCCCUUUCCCUCAUCAGCUCACUAGUAUAUAUACAGUUUGUCAGAAUGUCUCAUUUAGUGUCUCAUUUAAUACUAAAGCCUGCCAGUACUUGACUUCUGCUCAAGUGUUUGACCUUGGCCUGUUUUCCCCCGAGCUGCGAGUUAGCUUAGCCUUUUACCUGGUUUAUCUUGGCUUAUCUUUCCGUGCUCCUUUGUCUUAACUAGACUCUGUUUUUUUUUAAAACCUGCCAGGGGUUGCUUGUACUUGAGAGGUUAGCAGACAGGAAGUUGUAUGAUAUUUAAAUGACCUCAGAGUGAAAGUCACAACAUGUGCAAUCUGAUAAGAUUAUGAAACCAUCGCAUUUCAGGAAUUCACUCAUUUUUAAAAGAUAUAAAACUUUUAUUCAGUUAGAUCAGUCAGUAUUACAGCUCCCAACUCUUUAUUCAAUUCAGCUUUUAACAGUCUCACACACAUUUCCUCUAUUUUGUUUUUGUAUUUGGAAAAUAACUCUAAUGCUGACUUUUUAAAAUGCAUAAUAAACCUGCCUAAAAAUGACCUAAAUAACUGCCUAAAAUGUGUGUUUUUUUUAACAUAAUACAAUUGUAUUGCCCCAAAAUUGGUACGGUAGAUCAGAUGAGUUAGUGUACGUCUAUAACAUAUCUGGGACAUAUCUGUAA